AGCAGCCGCGGUAAUUCCAGCUCCAAUAGCGUAUAUUAAGGUUGUUGCAGUUAAAAAGCUCGUAGUUGAAUUUCGGGGUUAGUAGAUUGGUCAUGCCUCUGGUAUGCACUGGUCUUACUGAUUCCUCCUUCCUGAUGAACCGUAAUGCCAUUAAUUUGGUGUUGCGGGGAAACUGGACUGUUACUUUGAAAAAUUAGAGUGUUUAAAGCAGGCUAACGCUUGAAUACAUUAGCAUGGAAUAAUGAAAUAGGACGUUCGAUCUUAUUUUGUUGGUUUUUAGGAUUGACGUAAUGAUUAAUAGGGAUAGUUGGGGCAUUAGUAUUCAAUUGUCAGAGGUGAAAUUCUUGGAUUUAUUGAAGACUAACUACUGCGAAAGCAUUUUGCCAAGGAUGUUUUCAUUAAUCAAGAACGAAAGUUAGGGGAUCGAAGACGAUCAGAUACCGUCAUAGUCUUAACCAUAAACUAUGACCG
This 471-nucleotide ribosomal RNA is filed under the name uncultured Glomus. RNAcentral's name for it is "SSU rRNA". It matches the Rfam family "Eukaryotic small subunit ribosomal RNA", at positions 569 to 1045 of the family's 1831-position model. Lineage: Eukaryota; Fungi; Glomeromycota; Glomeromycetes; Glomerales; Glomeraceae. The record is from RNAcentral.